CCUACGGGAGGCAGCAGUGGUGAAUAUUGGACAAUGGGGGGAACCCUGAUCCAGCCAUGCCGCGUGUGUGAAGAAGGCCCUCGGGUUGUAAAGCACUUUCAGUGAGGAAGAACGCCUGGUGGUUAAUACCCAUCAGGAAAGACAUCACUCACAGAAGAAGCACCGGCUAACUCCGUGCCAGCAGCCGCGGUAAUACGGAGGGUGCGAGCGUUACUCGGAAUUACUGGGCGUAAAGCGCGCGUAGGUGGCUUGAUAAGCCGGUUGUGAAAGCCCCGGGCUCAACCUGGGAACGGCAUCCGGAACUGUCAAGCUAGAGUGCAGGAGAGGAAGGUAGAAUUCCCGGUGUAGCGGUGAAAUGCGUAGAGAUCGGGAGGAAUACCAGUGGCGAAGGCGGCCUUCUGGACUGACACUGACACUGAGGUGCGAAAGCGUGGGUAGCAAACAGGAUUAGAUACCCCUGUAGUC
Molecule: ribosomal RNA, 465 nt
Filed under: Vreelandella stevensii
Lineage: Bacteria; Pseudomonadati; Pseudomonadota; Gammaproteobacteria; Oceanospirillales; Halomonadaceae
Description: partial 16S ribosomal RNA
Rfam family: Bacterial small subunit ribosomal RNA
Source: RNAcentral